UCCUGUUCUGUGGGACGUUCUCGCUUAUGGGCAGGAUGUACCUUGCGUCUGUCUGUUUACAAUCAUUUGACUUGAAGGAAGGUUUAUGUUUUCUUCCUGACUGUCUUCUACCAAUCAGGACUUUCACUUGGAGGACAAGCUGCAAGUCAAGGAUGGAUGGUUUUAAAAGUGGAUUUCUUCAUUGUUGAUCAGACUGGAUUGGUGAACACGACAAGUGCACUUCUAAGCCAGGUAGAAACAUUGUUAUCAUCCCAGUUUCCUGCUGGAACCUUCACACUAGUGAUAGUUGGAAAUUCAACAGAGUAAAUAAAGGGAUGUCUUCAGGAAAGUCUGAAAGGCUGACGCAAAGCAUAAAUGAAAAUGUUCUAAAACAACCUUUUGCUUGCUAGAUGGAGGAAUCCAUGGCUCAAUGGGCAUAUGCAAUAAAUCAAUGAAUGAA
Long non-coding RNA from Xenopus tropicalis (tropical clawed frog), 439 nucleotides. RefSeq lists it as uncharacterized. The record is from RefSeq and is a predicted model, not a curated record. The transcript is spliced from 5 exons. Lineage: Eukaryota; Metazoa; Chordata; Amphibia; Anura; Pipidae.